UCCGGUGUAGCUCAAUGGUAGAGCGCCCGCUUGUUAAGCGGUGGGUUGGAGGUUCGAUCCCUCCCGCCGGAGCCG
RNAcentral lists this transfer RNA (75 nucleotides) under Sorangium cellulosum. RNAcentral's name for it is "tRNA-Asn". It matches the Rfam family "tRNA". Rfam says of the family: Transfer RNA (tRNA) molecules are approximately 80 nucleotides in length. The record is from RNAcentral. RNAcentral also lists the same sequence under 1 other name. Lineage: Bacteria; Pseudomonadati; Myxococcota; Polyangiales; Polyangiaceae.